This 251-nucleotide ribosomal RNA is filed under the name uncultured bacterium. RNAcentral describes it as "partial 16S ribosomal RNA". It matches the Rfam family "Bacterial small subunit ribosomal RNA", at positions 526 to 779 of the family's 1533-position model. The record is from RNAcentral.
CGUAGGUGCAAGCGUUGUCCGGAAUUAUUGGGCGUAAAGAGCUCGUAGGCGGCUUGUCGCGUCUGCUGUGAAAUCCUGAGGCUCAACCUUGGGCGUGCAGUGGGUACGGGCAGGCUAGAGUGCGGUAGGGAGAUUGGAAUUCCUGGUGUAGCGGUGGAAUGCGCAGAUAUCAGGAGGAACACCGAUGGCGAAGGCAGAUCUCUGGGCCGUAACUGACGCUGAGGAGCGAAAGCAUGGGAGCGAACAGGAUU